This 76-nucleotide transfer RNA is filed under the name Thermotoga sp. RNAcentral's name for it is "tRNA-Gln". It matches the Rfam family "tRNA". Rfam says of the family: Transfer RNA (tRNA) molecules are approximately 80 nucleotides in length. Lineage: Bacteria; Thermotogati; Thermotogota; Thermotogae; Thermotogales; Thermotogaceae. The record is from RNAcentral. RNAcentral also lists the same sequence under 9 other names.
UGGGGCGUCGCCAAGCUGGUAAGGCAUCGGACUUUGGAUCCGACAUUCGGAGGUUCGAAUCCUCCCGCCCCAGCCA